Molecule: ribosomal RNA, 543 nt
Filed under: uncultured Acinetobacter sp.
Lineage: Bacteria; Pseudomonadati; Pseudomonadota; Gammaproteobacteria; Moraxellales; Moraxellaceae
Description: bacterial SSU rRNA
Rfam family: Bacterial small subunit ribosomal RNA
Source: RNAcentral
AUUGUAGCUUGCUACAUGACCUAGCGGCGGACGGGUGAGUAAUACUUAGGAAUCUGCCUAUUAGUGGGGGACAACGUUCCGAAAGGAGCGCUAAUACCGCAUACGCCCUACGGGGGAAAGCAGGGGAUCUUCGGACCUUGCGCUAAUAGAUGAGCCUAAGUCGGAUUAGCUAGUUGGUAGGGUAAAGGCCUACCAAGGCGACGAUCUGUAGCGGGUUUGAGAGGAUGAUCCGCCACACUGGGACUGAGACACGGCCCAGACUCCUACGGGAGGCAGCAGUGGGGAAUAUUGGACAAUGGGCGCAAGCCUGAUCCAGCCAUGCCGCGUGUGUGAAGAAGGCCUUAUGGUUGUAAAGCACUUUAAGCGAGGAGGAGGCUUACCUAGCUAAUACCUAGGAUAAGUGGACGUUACUCGCAGAAUAAGCACCGGCUAACUCUGUGCCAGCAGCCGCGGUAAUACAGAGGGUGCAAGCGUUAAUCGGAAUUACUGGGCGUAAAGCGCGCGUAGGUGGCCAUUUAAGUCAAAUGUGAAAUCCCCGAGCUU